This is a regulatory RNA element of 112 nucleotides. It matches the Rfam family "mraW RNA". The record is from Rfam.
GCAUGUGGAUGUCGUGAGGCCUCUGUCCGCACGGGAAUGACCCUGGUGCACCUUCCCCGGCACCAGGUUCACAGCGGAGCGGGCGGGGACCUGACGGCACCCACGCCACAGU